Molecule: ribosomal RNA, 369 nt
Filed under: uncultured bacterium
Lineage: Bacteria
Description: bacterial SSU rRNA
Rfam family: Bacterial small subunit ribosomal RNA
Source: RNAcentral
GUAGGGUGCAAGCGUUAAUCGGAAUUACUGGGCGUAAAGCGUGCGCAGGCGGUGAUGUAAGACAGAUGUGAAAUCCCCGGGCUCAACCUGGGAACUGCAUUUGUGACUGCAUCGCUGGAGUGCGGCAGAGGGGGAUGGAAUUCCGCGUGUAGCAGUGAAAUGCGUAGAUAUGCGGAGGAACACCGAUGGCGAAGGCAAUCCCCUGGGCCUGCACUGACGCUCAUGCACGAAAGCGUGGGGAGCAAACAGGAUUAGAUACCCUGGUAGUCCACGCCCUAAACGAUGUCAACUGGUUGUUGGGUCUUCACUGACUCAGUAACGAAGCUAACGCGUGAAGUUGACCGCCUGGGGAGUCCGGUCGCAAGGCUG